Molecule: ribosomal RNA, 414 nt
Filed under: uncultured Funneliformis
Lineage: Eukaryota; Fungi; Glomeromycota; Glomeromycetes; Glomerales; Glomeraceae
Description: partial 28S ribosomal RNA
Source: RNAcentral
GAGAGUUAAACAGUACGUGAAAUUGUUGAAAGGGAAACGAUUGAAGUCAGUCAUACCAACGGGAAAUCAACCUUUUGAGUUUGUUCUUGUGGGUUUCGAGGAGUUUAAAAGCCUUCUGAUUUGCUAGGAUUGGGCUCUUUUGGUGUACUUUCUCGUACGGUUAGUCAACAUCGGUUUUGAAUGUCAUAAAAUGACUGGAGGAAUGUGGCUUCGAUCUCGUAUCGAAGUGUUAUAACCUUUGGUAGAUGUGAUGUUCGAGACCGAGGAUUGCAACGGAUACCUUCUGGGCUAUUCGUCUGAUCUCUGAUACGUUGCCUUGAUGUCGAAAGCGUGCUUAUGAUGUUAGGGUAUUACGGUCAAAAGGUUAGAACGGAUUAAAUUCGUUAAGGAUGUUGACGUAAUGACUUUAAACGA